This is a microRNA precursor of Oryza sativa Japonica Group (Japanese rice), 204 nucleotides long. It matches the Rfam family "MIR812 microRNA precursor family". The record is from Rfam. NCBI's taxonomy places the organism in Eukaryota, Viridiplantae, Streptophyta, Magnoliopsida, Poales, Poaceae.
AAAAAGGCAAACCCUGAAUUUUCGUGUCCAACUUUAACUGUCCGUCUUAUAUGAAAUUUUUUUAUAAUUUAUAUUUUUAUUAUGGUUAGAUGAUCAAACAUGAUUAAUAUUUUAUGCGUGACUUGUCUUUUUAAUUUUUACCAUAAUUUUUUAAAAUAAGACGGACGGUCAAACGUUAGACACGGAAACCAGGUUUCUCUUUUU